AUUGAACGCUGGCGGCAUGCCUUACACAUGCAAGUCGAACGGUAACGGGCCUUCGGGUGCCGACGAGUGGCGAACGGGUGAGUAAUGUAUCGGAACGUACCUUUCAGUGGGGGAUAACGUAGCGAAAGUUACGCUAAUACCGCAUAUUCUGUGAGCAGGAAAGCAGGGGAUCGCAAGACCUUGCGCUGAUUGAGCGGCCGAUAUCAGAUUAGCUAGUUGGUGGGGUAAAGGCCUACCAAGGCGACGAUCUGUAGCGGGUCUGAGAGGAUGAUCCGCCACACUGGGACUGAGACACGGCCCAGACUCCUACGGGAGGCAGCAGUGGGGAAUUUGGACAAUGGGGGCAACCCUGAUCCAGCCAUGCCGCGUGAGUGAAGAAGGCCUUCGGGUUGUAAAGCUCUUUUCAGACGGAAAGAAACGCAAUCGGUGAAUACCCGGUGUGGAUGACGGUACCGUAAGAAGAAGCACCGGCUAACGUAACGUGCCAGCAGCCGCGGUAAUCU
Molecule: ribosomal RNA, 503 nt
Filed under: uncultured bacterium
Lineage: Bacteria
Description: bacterial SSU rRNA
Rfam family: Bacterial small subunit ribosomal RNA
Source: RNAcentral